CACGCCCUAAACGAUGAAUGUUAGUCGUCGGAGAGCUCGUCUCUUCGGUGAUGCAGCUAACGCAUUAAACAUUCCGCCUGGGGAGUACGGUCGCAAGAUUAAAACUCAAAGGAAUAGACGGGGACCCGCACAAGUGGUGGAGCAUGUGGUUUAAUUCGAAGAUACGCGAAGAACCUUACCUGGCCUUGACAUUGAUAGAAUCUGCUAGAGAUAGCGGAGUGCCCUUCGGGGAGCUUGAAAACAGGUGC
RNAcentral lists this ribosomal RNA (248 nucleotides) under uncultured Helicobacteraceae bacterium. Its description in RNAcentral is "partial 16S ribosomal RNA". It matches the Rfam family "Bacterial small subunit ribosomal RNA", at positions 796 to 1041 of the family's 1533-position model. The record is from RNAcentral. Lineage: Bacteria; Pseudomonadati; Campylobacterota; Epsilonproteobacteria; Campylobacterales; Helicobacteraceae.